RNAcentral lists this ribosomal RNA (393 nucleotides) under uncultured bacterium. RNAcentral's name for it is "bacterial SSU rRNA". It matches the Rfam family "Bacterial small subunit ribosomal RNA", at positions 28 to 424 of the family's 1533-position model. The record is from RNAcentral.
GACGAACGCUGGCGGCGUGCUUAACACAUGCAAGUCGAGCGAUGAAGCACCUUCGGGUGUGAAUUAGCGGCGAACGGGUGAGGAACACGUGAGAAAUCUGCCUUCAACUCUGGGAUAACUCCGUGAAAACGGGGCUAAUACCGGAUAUGAGAUCUACAGGCAUCUGUGGAUCUGGAAAGUUUUUCGGUUGAAGAUGAUCUCGCGGCCUAUCAGCUUGUUGGUGAGGUAAUGGCUCACCAAGGCGACGACGGGUAGCCGGCCUGAGAGGGCGACCGGCCACACUGGGACUGAGACACGGCCCAGACUCCUACGGGAGGCAGCAGUGGGGAAUAUUGGGCAAUGGAGGAAACUCUGACCCAGCGACGCCGCGUGCGGGAUGAAGGCCUUCGGGUU